UACGUAGGGUGCAAGCGUUGUCCGGAAUUAUUGGGCGUAAAGAGCUCGUAGGCGGUCUGUCGCGUCGGGUGUGAAAACUCGGGGCUCAACCCCGAGCCUGCAGCCGAUACGGGAAGACUAGAGUGCUGUAGGGGAGACUGGAAUUCCUGGUGUAGAGGUGAAAUGCGCAGAUAUCAGGAGGAACACCGGUGGCGAAGGCGGCUUUCUGGGCAGUAACUGACGCUGAGGAGCGAAAGCGUGGGGAGCGAACAGG
This 253-nucleotide ribosomal RNA is filed under the name uncultured bacterium. RNAcentral's name for it is "partial 16S ribosomal RNA". It matches the Rfam family "Bacterial small subunit ribosomal RNA", at positions 524 to 776 of the family's 1533-position model. The record is from RNAcentral.